RNAcentral lists this ribosomal RNA (1389 nucleotides) under metagenome. RNAcentral's name for it is "bacterial SSU rRNA". It matches the Rfam family "Archaeal small subunit ribosomal RNA". The record is from RNAcentral.
GGCGGCUGCAGCUAUCUGGUUUAUACUUAGACAUGCAAGUCUUUCGAGAGAUGGCGAACCGCUCAGUAACACGUAGCUAACCUUCCUUAAGAUUGAGAAUAACUUCGGGAAACUGAGGAUAAUGCUCAAUAGAAGAUGAUCUCUGGAACGAGUUAUCUUUGAAACGUAAGGUCUUAGGAUGGGGCUGCGGCUGAUUAGGUAGUUGGCGGGGUAAAUGCCCACCAAGCCGAUUAUCAGUAAGGGCUCUUAGCGGAGAGGCCCUGAGAAGGAAUCUUAGACACUAUUCCUAGCCCUACGGGGUGCAGCAGUUAAGGAUUUUUUGCAAUGCGCGCAAGCGUGACAGAGCGAGCCAGAGUGUUUUUCAAUAUGAAAAACUUUUACUCACUGUAAAAAGGUGGGAGAAUAAGGACUGGGUAAGACUGGUGCCAGCCGCCGCGGUAAUCCCAGCAGUCCAAGUUGCAGCCACAAUUAUUGGGUCUAAAACAUCCGUAGCUUGUUGUACAAGUCUCUUGUGAAAUCCUAUGUCUUAAAUAUAGGGCGUGCAGGAGAUACUGUAUUACUAGAGAUCGGGAGACGUAAGAAGUACAAUCAAGGUAGUAGUAAAAUAUGUUGAUCUUGAUUGGACUAACAAUAGCGAAGGCAUCUUACGAGCACGAAUCUGACAGUGAGGGAUGAAGGCUAGGGGCGCGAAAAGGAUUAGAUACCCUUGUAGUCCUAGCAGUAAACACUGUACACUAAACAUCGGUAUCUCCUCGAGAGACAUCGGUGCUGUAGGGAAGCCGUAGAGUGUACUACCUGGGGAGUAUAGUCGCAAGACCGAAACUUAAAGGAAUUGGCGGGGGAGCACUACAACAGGUGACGCGUGCGGUUCAAUUAGAGUCUACACCGUGAACCUCACCAGGAGCGACAGCAGAAUGAAGGUCAGUCUGAAGGGCUUACCUGACACGCUAAGAGGAGUUGCAUGGCCGACGUCAGCCUGUGCCGUGAGGUGACCUGUUAAAUCAGGUAACAGGCGAGACCCGCAUGUAUAGUUGCCACCAAAAGUGGGUUCACUAUACAGACUGCCGUGGUAACACGGAGGAAGGUGCGGGCUACGUUAGGUGAGUACGGCCCGAAUCCCCUGGGCUACACGCGCGCGUCAAUGCUGCAUUCAAUGGGAUGCAACUCUGAAAAGAGAAGCUAAUCCUUAAUAUCCAGCUCAGUUUAGAUUGAAGAUUGAAACCCAUCUUCAUGACACCGGAAUCUGUAGUAAUCGUUCUUCAUCAGAGAACGUUGAAUAUGUCCCUGCUCCUUGCACACACUGCCCGUCAAACCAACCGAGUUUUGCAUUGUUGAGGAUCAUUUGACACGAACUUUUGUAAGACAAGGUAGGUUAAGUCGUCACAAGGU